AUGGUUACUACUUACUAGAUCUGAAAUUUGAACAUUCAAGAGUAUGUCUGUUGUUCCCAUUUUCUUUGAGUUCAUAGGUGCUGCUUGAUCAAUUCCCUUGAUGUCAAGGCAGCAAGUGGUUGAGGAAUAUUAAAGCAAACUUGAGUUUGAAACAUUUACAGUUUUUCUAAAUGGGAUCAAGUGUUUGAGAGAGAGCAUAAUUUGAUUGAUAGUCUUGAGCUGGUGGAUUUGGAAUUUCUAUUCUUUAUUUAUUUAUUUAUAAUUUUUGCCCACAAAUGCCUAUGUCAUGUGGCAAAUUGUUGUUUCUCAUGCUUAUCUGAUCAUCAAUGACAUAAUUAUUCUAAGAUAAGGGCGUAAUUUCUAGUCCAUUUUUGUCUCAUCAACUUCCUAUUA
This 393-nucleotide unclassified non-coding RNA is filed under the name Hevea brasiliensis (rubber tree). The record is from RNAcentral. Lineage: Eukaryota; Viridiplantae; Streptophyta; Magnoliopsida; Malpighiales; Euphorbiaceae.